GGAGGGAUUCCCGAGUGGCCAAAGGGGGCAGACUGUAAAUCUGUUGGCUCAGCCUUCGAAGGUUCGAAUCCUUCUCCCUCCACCA
Molecule: transfer RNA, 85 nt
Filed under: Actinobacillus lignieresii
Lineage: Bacteria; Pseudomonadati; Pseudomonadota; Gammaproteobacteria; Pasteurellales; Pasteurellaceae
Also listed under: 19 other names
Description: tRNA-Tyr(gta)
Rfam family: tRNA
About the family: Transfer RNA (tRNA) molecules are approximately 80 nucleotides in length. Their secondary structure includes four short double-helical elements and three loops (D, anti-codon, and T loops).
Source: RNAcentral